AGAUUGAACGCUGGCGGCAGGCUUAACACAUGCAAGUCGAGCGGAGAUGAGGUGCUUGCACCUUAUCUUAGCGGCGGACGGGUGAGUAAUGCUUAGGAAUCUGCCUAUUAGUGGGGGACAACAUUCCGAAAGGAAUGCUAAUACCGCAUACGCCCUACGGGGGAAAGCAGGGGAUCUUCGGACCUUGCGCUAAUAGAUGAGCCUAAGUCGGAUUAGCUAGUUGGUGGGGUAAAGGCCUACCAAGGCGACGAUCUGUAGCGGGUCUGAGAGGAUGAUCCGCCACACUGGGACUGAGACACGGCCCAGACUCCUACGGGAGGCAGCAGUGGGGAAUAUUGGACAAUGGGCGGAAGCCUGAUCCAGCCAUGCCGCGUGUGUGAAGAAGGCCUUUUGGUUGUAAAGCACUUUAAGCGAGGAGGAGGCUACUUAGAUUAAUACUCUAGGAUAGUGGACGUUACUCGCAGAAUAAGCACCGGCUAACUCUGUGCCAGCAGCCGCGGUAAUACAGAGGGUGCGAGCGUUAAUCGGAUUUACUGGGCGUAAAGCGUGCGUAGGCGGCUGAUUAAGUCGGAUGUGAAAUCCCUGAGCUUAACUUAGGAAUUGCAUUCGAUACUGGUCAGCUAGAGUAUGGGAGAGGAUGGUAGAUUUCCAGGUGUAGCGGUGAAAUGCGUAGAGAUCUGGAGGAAUACCGAUGGCGAAGGCAGCCAUCUGGCCUAAUACUGACGCUGAGGUACGAAAGCAUGGGGAGCAAACAGGAUUAGAUACCCUGGUAGUCCAUGCCGUAAACGAUGUCUACUAGCCGUUGGGGCCUUUGAGGCUUUAGUGGCGCAGCUAACGCGAUAAGUAGACCGCCUGGGGAGUACGGUCGCAAGACUAAAACUCAAAUGAAUUGACGGGGGCCCGCACAAGCGGUGGAGCAUGUGGUUUAAUUCGAUGCAACGCGAAGAACCUUACCUGGCCUUGACAUAGUAAGAACUUUCCAGAGAUGGAUUGGUGCCUUCGGGAACUUACAUACAGGUGCUGCAUGGCUGUCGUCAGCUCGUGUCGUGAGAUGUUGGGUUAAGUCCCGCAACGAGCGCAACCCUUUUCCUUAUUUGCCAGCGAGUAAUGUCGGGAACUUUAAGGAUACUGCCAGUGACAAACUGGAGGAAGGCGGGGACGACGUCAAGUCAUCAUGGCCCUUACGGCCAGGGCUACACACGUGCUACAAUGGUCGGUACAAAGGGUUGCUACCUAGCGAUAGGAUGCUAAUCUCAAAAAGCCGAUCGUAGUCCGGAUUGGAGUCUGCAACUCGACUCCAUGAAGUCGGAAUCGCUAGUAAUCGCGGAUCAGAAUGCCGCGGUGAAUACGUUCCCGGGCCUUGUACACACCGCCCGUCACACCAUGGGAGUUUGUUGCACCAGAAGUAGGUAGUCUAACCGCAAGGAGGACGCUUACCACGGUGUGGCCGAUGACUGGGGUGAA
Molecule: ribosomal RNA, 1464 nt
Filed under: uncultured bacterium
Lineage: Bacteria
Description: bacterial SSU rRNA
Rfam family: Bacterial small subunit ribosomal RNA
Source: RNAcentral